GUCACCUCCGGAUGCCUUUGCAAAGUAUCCCCAUCAGGCAUCUGUAUGUUAAACCUAUUUUCCAUUUUAUAUGAUAAAAUCACACUAUUAUCUACUAUUAGUAAACAAAAUAAUAUAAAAUUUAUUAAAAUAAUCAAUAUGUAAACUUGUAUCACUUUAAUUAUUUAAUUUCAACUACUCAAAUGUUCCAAAUAGCAUAUCUGAC
Molecule: long non-coding RNA, 205 nt
Filed under: Elaeis guineensis (African oil palm)
Lineage: Eukaryota; Viridiplantae; Streptophyta; Magnoliopsida; Arecales; Arecaceae
Description: long non-coding RNA (EGUI_LNC001102)
Source: RNAcentral